RNAcentral lists this long non-coding RNA (422 nucleotides) under Mytilus galloprovincialis (Mediterranean mussel). Lineage: Eukaryota; Metazoa; Mollusca; Bivalvia; Mytilida; Mytilidae. The record is from RNAcentral.
UUAUAUCUAUUGAUCUAAGCUCCCUUUCAAUUUUUAUAAAUUUCAGAUUUUAAGUUUUGGAUUUAUGGGGCGUUAUUCAUAAAAAAAGGGGAUUUUUAACACUUCGGACAAUAACUCAAAAAGGCUUUCACCAAUGUCCAUGAAACUUUGGUGAAUUGUUUAUAUCUAUUGAUGUAAGCUCCCUUUCAAUUUUUAUAAAUUUCAGAUUUUAAGUUUUGGAUUUAUGGGGCUUUAUUCAUAAAAAAAAGGGGGAUUUUCAACACUUCGGACAAUAACUCAAAAAGGCUUUUACCAAUGUCCAUGAAACUUUGGUGAAUUGUUUAUAUCUAUUGAUGUAAGCUCCCUUUCAAUUUUUAUAAAUUUCAGAUUUUACAUUUCCGUGUUAUGAAUUUUUAUGCUUAAAAAAGGGGGGAUUUUCCAAU